RNAcentral lists this long non-coding RNA (617 nucleotides) under Lepeophtheirus salmonis (salmon louse). Its description in RNAcentral is "uncharacterized LOC121129795". The record is from RNAcentral. Lineage: Eukaryota; Metazoa; Arthropoda; Copepoda; Siphonostomatoida; Caligidae.
AUGACGUAGUAUCGAUCAUUCUUUGUUGAGGUGAUUACGCGGGAAUCUUUUUCAUUUAUUUAAUUCCAAAAUAAGUAAUAACACAGAAAAUCCAUCCCAAAUCCCUCUGGUCUAGAUAAUUCCCUAGUCCGGCGAUGUCCUCCUUCAUUCUGAAUGAUGGCUUUAAUAUGGGGACGAACAGAAGCCCAACUUGCCUUAAUGAAGUCCUUGAACAUGUUUUUCCACUCAUCGUAAUCACGGCCUUCAGGGCAUCCCUAAAUCAAGGAGAUUGUCAGAUUAGUCGACAGCAUCCGGUUUAAAUGACUUUUGAAACUUUCUUUUAAUUUAAAAAAAAAAUUAAGAACAUCGUUUCGUUAAUAUUAUUCGUCUCAAUCAUGUUAAAUACAUGAGUGAAUAAUAUAAUUAUGAAACUUUACUUAUGUAUUGCUAUCACUUAGACUAAGAGGACGAAGGACUGGAACCGAUUAAAAGUAUUGGUAUAUUGGCAACACUAGUUGGAUAUAUAUAUGUAUUUUUUGUUGUUGACAAGAAUGUACUCAAAACCUAAUCUAAAUCUACUAUUUAAAUGUGAAUGUGUGUGUGUGUGUGUUUGUACCUCAAUAAAGAAAAAAAUAAUG